UUGUCCUGGGACCAGGGGAUGAGCUGGGGUGAAGAAUAAAGAUGGGAGCGGAAAAAGAAAGGUGGCAUGCGUUGUGGGGACGGUAGCAGGGUGACCAGAAAUGUCCAGGAAAAAUCUUCCUGAAAUAACACGAAGUGAAAACCCAGUCCAGUGGAGAAGAGCAGGAAGAUGCAUCAACCAACCGUUGCACGACUGCAAAGUCUACCGUAUUGUAAGCCAUUGAAUCCCACGAAGGAGGACUGUGGAGCCUGCAUGAGGAUAUUCUGGUGAGGCCUGGCAGCUGCUGCAUUUCUGUGUUACAGAUUCUAAACCUGACGUUGACAGACUGGUCCAAACCAUAGAGGAAUGCAUCCCAGAACCCAGAAUGCCCCCUAAUAACAUCUCUCCUCCAUCAACAGUGGGACCUCCAUCUUCUGUCUUCUGAACUCCCAUCAGUAGCUGGAUUUGACUUUUUUGUUUGGUGUUGUUUUUAGUAGUUGGUAAUAGAUUGUAAAGUCAUCCAGUCUCUGGUCCAGGUUUCCCUUCCACUAACGCCACACAUGACAAAGACAGCCCGCUAGGCUUAGCAGCAGAGUUUAGGGGCAGAUAUUCUAAUUCUUUGGAAGCUGAUCAUCCACACAGAGUAUAACUUAUCAAAUCUAAUACAUGUAUUUUUAAAAUAAAACUUUCCCAGUCACACCAUUCUGGGUCACUGAGGAUUACUCCAAAUUAGUAUUAAUUAACUAGUCUAGAAUCAUUAAGGCAGCAUGGUCUCUCAAGACACUCUAAGGCCUUUGAUUCUGUACCUUUCUCUGUGAAACUACAAGUUUUUUUUUUUUUUUUUAAAUCUAUGCUUAUUUACCAAACAGCACAGCUACCCAUAAAGGUCCUGGGACUCCCUGGAGAAUGUUCCAACGCCAGUAGGAAAUGACAUGAUGGCUUCCUCUGGGAUUAGAGGGCCACAGGAUCUGGAAGUUUCCAGGUAUUGGCAGCAGAGACAUUUUCUCUGUGAAGAUUCUGGCAUGGCCGACAGAGGGUUAAAUUAUGAAGCCUGUUGGCUCCUGGUGCCUGCUAAGCCCUUUACCACUACUUCUGUGGCUAUACUGAAGGAGUCAGUUAGCAUUCCUAAAUUAUAGGAUUGGGACUUCAAGAGGUCAUUUUGCCCAUCCCCCUGCUUCUGGGCAGGACAGUACUUAAUUAUCUUGGCUCACAGAGCUCUCUCUGAAACCAAUUGAUGCAUAGAUGCAAUCAUUUGCCUCAGGGGAACAUGAU
Mustela lutreola (European mink) is the source of this 1251-nucleotide long non-coding RNA. RefSeq lists it as uncharacterized. NCBI's taxonomy places the organism in Eukaryota, Metazoa, Chordata, Mammalia, Carnivora, Mustelidae. The transcript is spliced from 3 exons. The record is from RefSeq and is a predicted model, not a curated record.